Long non-coding RNA from Zingiber officinale, 808 nucleotides. RefSeq lists it as uncharacterized. The record is from RefSeq and is a predicted model, not a curated record. The transcript has 3 exons. NCBI's taxonomy places the organism in Eukaryota, Viridiplantae, Streptophyta, Magnoliopsida, Zingiberales, Zingiberaceae.
AGUUAACGGGGAUAAAAAUGGGGUCCGGAAAAGCCUGUUUAGGCUACCUCGUUUUAAAGAGGAAAUGUUUGAUUUUUCUCCCUUUUUCUUUAUUCUUUUUCUUAUUUUCCUCCGCCGUUUUCUUUCAUUGCCGCGCGCCCGAAGUCCUCACCCCCUUGCCCUAACCGGCGCCGAGCUAACCGCUCGCGAUUUAAGCCCCGAUCAAGGUUUGUUCCUUUUUCUUCUUCUCCGCUCUGCCGUCCCCAAAUCGCCGGUGCCUAGCCUCUGCCCCGACUCCAGCGAUGCCACUGCCGGCACCGAUUUUCCAGCCUCGGCUGCCUUUCCUCUAUGCCCUAGCAUCUCUGCCGAUGCCACUGUCUCUCUUUCUCCCGACGCCGAGCAGCACCGAGCCCUAGGUGCCAACGCCGUCGACGCCUUUUUCCGACCUCUUCUGUGCCACUCCGAGACUCCUUGUCCGAGUUCUCACCGUGCCCUAGCCCCCGCUCAGCAGAUAGCCGGCUGCCAACACUCAAAGCAAAUGUCGAUUUGUAGCCUCUGCCCUAGCCUCUGUUUCCGACGCUGGUAAGGGUUCUGCCGUGGCCACCACUUGGGAUCUGUAUGUCGUCGUCGCCCCUUUGCUCUGGUUUACUGCCUCAGUAGCCCUUGCUGGAAACAACACCGGUGACCUAACUCCUCCGUCCUCUAAUCCAGUGAGCUACUGGAUGAAGUAGGAAGGAUUCCAGCAGCAAACGAUCCUACUUCCAACAGUGAUAAAACGGCUGUGAGUUUCAGGAUCUUGACGCGAGACGAGUAUCUUGGAGUCAGAUUU